UCCCAAAGUAUGUCCUUGCCACUGUCAAAGCACUGCCCCAAUCAAUUGACUCAUACAAUUUCUAUAAACACCACACUGGCUGUAACUGACUCUAAGGAAGGUGUAUUAAUAAGGUAACAACUUCAGAGCUUUAUUUUAUUAUUUUCCUCUCUUCAUAUUAUAAGUCCUUUUAUUCUAGCGCCUCCUAGCGGAACGUUAAUCUUGCAUCUAAAGGGAGAGGGGGGGACUAGUUUUGUGAGACACACGCACGGAAGUAAGGAGGAAAACACACGUAGCUCUGAAAUUAAGAGGCUCUAUAAACGGGAUAAUUAAGCACCUAGCUGGAACGGGAACAAGCUCUUACGGUGUUUCAUGAAGAAACGGAAGGUAUAUUUGUGUUCAGAACAAGGCUGACGGCUGAACGUAAAUAAAAGCUUCUGGAAACAUCA
Perca fluviatilis (European perch) is the source of this 428-nucleotide long non-coding RNA. RefSeq lists it as uncharacterized. The record is from RefSeq and is a predicted model, not a curated record. Lineage: Eukaryota; Metazoa; Chordata; Actinopteri; Perciformes; Percidae. The transcript has 2 exons.